This 433-nucleotide ribosomal RNA is filed under the name uncultured bacterium. Its description in RNAcentral is "partial 16S ribosomal RNA". It matches the Rfam family "Bacterial small subunit ribosomal RNA", at positions 29 to 507 of the family's 1533-position model. The record is from RNAcentral.
AACGAACGCUGGCGGCAUGCCUAACACAUGCAAGUCGAACGAGACCUUCGGGUCUAGUUGCGCACGGGUGCGUAACGCGUGGGAACCUGCCCUUAGGUUCGGAAUAACUCCCCGAAAGGGGUGCUAAUACCGGAUAAUGUCUUCGGACCAAAGAUUUAUCGCCUUUGGAUGGGCCCGCGUUGGAUUAGCUAGAUGGUAUGGUAAAAGCCUACCAAGGCGACGAUCCAUAGCUGGGCUGAGAGGAUGAUCAGCCACACUGGGACUGAGACACGGCCCAGACUCCUACGGGAGGCAGCAGUGGGGAAUAUUGGACAAUGGGCGAAAGCCUGAUCCAGCAAUGCCGCGUGAGUGAUGAAGGCCUUAGGGUUGUAAAGCUCUUUUACCCGGGAUGAUAAUGACAGUACCGGGAGAAUAAGCUCCGGCUAACUCCGUG